GGUCUGAGCCGGUCUUGGGCCAUGACAAAGGGCCCGCCGCAAGGCGGGCCUUUCUUUUUGCUGUA
RNAcentral lists this small RNA (65 nucleotides) under Bordetella bronchiseptica MBORD632. RNAcentral describes it as "suhB". Lineage: Bacteria; Pseudomonadati; Pseudomonadota; Betaproteobacteria; Burkholderiales; Alcaligenaceae. The record is from RNAcentral.